UAAAGACAUUAUAGGGUCUUUGGGUUUGGAGGGACAAAGUAUCGAAAAUGAUAUGUGUUUUUUGUCUAAAGACGCCAUAUGUGCUAAUUAUGCAGCUUCACAUUCCUCGGACUCUUUAUAAAAAAAUAUCACACAUCUUACACCUUCUCAAGCCCUUCAAUUUACUAUAUAUUUUUGUACGUUUCUAGCUAAUAAAUAAGAAAAUUUGAAAGCUCCCAAAACAAAAUGCAGAAAAAAAUAGAAAAAUAUAAACUACCUGUAAAUGUACAAUCCGAAUAGAGCCAUUGAGAAGGAUGAACACAAAAGGAAGAAAUAAAAAUCAACGGUCUAGAUGUAGGAAUCUUCAAAUUGAUUGCGCAAUCUUUAAAAAAAAAAAAAA
Molecule: long non-coding RNA, 379 nt
Filed under: Olea europaea subsp. europaea
Lineage: Eukaryota; Viridiplantae; Streptophyta; Magnoliopsida; Lamiales; Oleaceae
Source: RNAcentral